UACGUAGGGAGCAAGCGUUGUCCGGAAUCAUUGGGCGUAAAGCGCGCGUAGGCGGCCCGGUAAGUCCGUUGUAAAAGUCGAAGGCUCAACCUUCGAAAGCCGAUGGAUACUGCCGGGCUAGAGUUCGGAAGAGGCGAGUGGAAUUCCUGGUGUAGCGGUGAAAUGCGCAGAUAUCAGGAAGAACACCCGUGGCGAAGGCGGCUCUCUGGGACGGUACUGACGCUGAGGAGCGAAAGCGUGGGGAGCGAACAGG
RNAcentral lists this ribosomal RNA (253 nucleotides) under uncultured bacterium. RNAcentral's name for it is "partial 16S ribosomal RNA". It matches the Rfam family "Bacterial small subunit ribosomal RNA", at positions 524 to 776 of the family's 1533-position model. The record is from RNAcentral.